GAAGCAACUUGGAUAUCACUUUCGUUUGCCAAACUAUUAAGUGAGGUAAAUGAGCUGCCAAGAAAGAAAUUAGUAAUAAACAUUAACAAAGUAAGCAUGUAAAAAAAUUACAACAGCAGUAAAAUCGAAUAACACGACAGGAAAACACAUGAAGGAUUAUUUUGAAUUCGACAGGCAUUGGAUCUCAGGGAAAAUGACCACAAAUGCUUUGAAAUUAUCUGGAUAUCAAUGUUCUUCCAACAAACACCCAAAAGAA
Molecule: long non-coding RNA, 256 nt
Organism: Hibiscus syriacus
Lineage: Eukaryota; Viridiplantae; Streptophyta; Magnoliopsida; Malvales; Malvaceae
Exons: 2
Source: RefSeq, a predicted model, not a curated record